AACGCGAAGAACCUUACCUGGGCUCGAACGGCUUAAGAACAUCUUUGGAAACAGAGACUUCCCGCAAGGGACUUGAGUCGAGGUGCUGCAUGGCUGUCGUCAGCUCGUGUCGUGAGAUGUUGGGUUAAGUCCCGCAACGAGCGCAACCCUUGUCCUGUGUUGCCACUCCCCUUAAAAGGAAGCACUCGCAGGAGACCGCCAGCGAUAAGCUGGAGGAAGGUGGGGAUGAUGUCAAGUCAUCAUGGCCUUUAUGUCCAGGGCUACACACGUGCUACAAUGGGCGGUACAAAGCGCUGCAAACCCGCGAGGGGGAGCUAAUCGCAAAAAACCGUUCUCAGUUCGGAUCGCAGGCUGCAACUCGCCUGCGUGAAGCUGGAAUCGCUAGUAAUGGCGUAUCAGAAUGAUGCCGUGAAUACGUUCCCGGGCCUUGUACACACCGCUCGCGA
Molecule: ribosomal RNA, 446 nt
Filed under: uncultured bacterium
Lineage: Bacteria
Description: bacterial SSU rRNA
Rfam family: Bacterial small subunit ribosomal RNA
Source: RNAcentral